Molecule: ribosomal RNA, 253 nt
Filed under: uncultured bacterium
Lineage: Bacteria
Description: partial 16S ribosomal RNA
Rfam family: Bacterial small subunit ribosomal RNA
Source: RNAcentral
GACGAACCGAGCGAACGUUGUUCGGAAUCACUGGGCUUAAAGGGCGCGUAGGCGGGCUGCCGCGUCCGGGGUGAAAUCCUCCGGCUCAACCGGGGAACGGCCUCGGAUACGGGCGGCCUCGAGGGGGGUAGGGGCAUCUGGAACUGUGGGUGGAGCGGUGAAAUGCGUUGAUAUCCACAGGAACUCCGGUGGCGAAGGCGAGGUGCUGGACCCCUUCUGACGCUGAGGCGCGAAAGCCAGGGGAGCAAACGGG